RNA transcript from Nomascus leucogenys (northern white-cheeked gibbon), 8590 nucleotides. It is a transcript of the gene named Ral GTPase activating protein non-catalytic beta subunit, with no coding region annotated. NCBI's taxonomy places the organism in Eukaryota, Metazoa, Chordata, Mammalia, Primates, Hylobatidae. The record is from RefSeq and is a predicted model, not a curated record. The transcript is spliced from 33 exons.
CUUGGCUGGGGAGUUAUUUGACGCCGCCGCCCCUGGCAGUCGGAAGUUGCCUGAGCAGAUCCCAGCCGGCUGGCCCGACUGGCCUUCGUCGUCCCUUGGCGCCCUGGGAGAGUCGCUGACGGGUGGACUGACGGACCGCCUGAGGACGGCCGGCCAGGGCGGUGAAAGCGCCAGCCCUAUGGCGCGGGUCGCGUGAGGCGGAAGGCCGAGGACGGCCGGCGGCGGCGCCCGCCCCGGCGAUGCGGGCCCCGCCCGUCGCCUCAGGUGCCAUUUGGAUUGUACUUUAGUGGCACGAUGUACUCUGAGUGGAGGUCACUGCAUUUGGUGAUUCAGAAUGAUCAAGGCCAUACCAGUGUGCUGCAUAGCUAUCCAGAGAGCGUUGGACGAGAGGUGGCAAAUGCUGUAGUCCGUCCUCUUGGGCAGGUGUUAGGUACCCCUUCAGUGGCUGGUAGUGAGAGUUUGUUAAAAACUGACAAAGAAGUAAAAUGGACCAUGGAAGUAAUUUGCUAUGGACUGACCCUUCCAUUGGAUGGAGAGACUGUAAAAUAUUGUGUUGAUGUAUAUACAGACUGGAUUAUGGCUUUAGUGUUGCCGAAAGAUUCUAUUCCAUUGCCAGUUAUUAAAGAGCCUAAUCAAUAUGUUCAAACUAUACUAAAACACCUACAAAAUCUUUUUGUACCAAGACAGGAACAGGGUUCCAGUCAGAUUCGACUAUGCUUACAGGUCCUGAGAGCCAUUCAGAAACUGGCCCGUGAGUCAUCUCUCAUGGCCCGAGAAACCUGGGAAGUCUUACUGUUGUUUCUUCUGCAGAUUAAUGACAUACUUCUGGCCCCACCAACUGUUCAAGGUGGCAUUGCUGAGAAUCUAGCAGAGAAGUUGAUUGGUGUUCUCUUUGAGGUGUGGUUACUAGCUUGUACUCGGUGCUUCCCAACACCUCCUUAUUGGAAAACAGCCAAGGAGAUGGUGGCUAACUGGAGGCAUCACCCAGCAGUGGUGGAGCAGUGGAGCAAGGUCAUUUGUGCGCUCACUUCCAGAUUGCUACGCUUUACAUAUGGUCCUUCAUUUCCUCCAUUUAAAGUUCCCGAUGAAGAUGCCAGUCUGAUCCCUCCAGAAAUGGAUAAUGAGUGUGUUGCACAGACAUGGUUUCGCUUUUUACACAUGUUAAGUAAUCCUGUGGAUUUGAGUAACCCAGCUAUUAUAAGCUCUACUCCCAAAUUUCAGGAACAGUUCUUGAAUGUGAGCGGAAUGCCGCAAGAAUUGAAUCAGUAUCCCUGCCUUAAACAUCUGCCUCAAAUAUUUUUUCGUGCCAUGCGUGGAAUCAGCUGUCUGGUGGAUGCAUUCUUAGGUAUUUCUAGACCCCGAUCAGACAGUGCUCCCCCAACACCUGUGAAUAGAUUAAGUAUGCCUCAAAGUGCUGCUGUCAGUACCACCCCACCACAUAACCGGAGGCACCGGGCUGUUACUGUGAAUAAGGCCACCAUGAAGACAAGCACAGUUAGUACUACUCAUGCCUCUAAAGUUCAGCACCAGACGUCCUCCACCUCUCCUCUGUCAAGUCCAAAUCAAACUAGUUCAGAACCCCGGCCACUGCCUGCCCCUCGGAGACCAAAGGUUAACAGCAUUUUGAAUCUCUUUGGAUCAUGGUUAUUUGAUGCAGCAUUUGUUCACUGUAAACUUCAUAAUGGGAUAAACAGAGACAGCAGCAUGACUGCAUCUUUUAUCCAAAUUCUUCUUUCUUAUAAAUCUUCCAUUACAACACAAGCUAGCAUGGAGUUUCGACGGAAAGGGUCACAAAUGUCCACAGACACCAUGGUUUCCAAUCCUAUGUUUGAUGCAAGUGAAUUUCCUGAUAACUAUGAAGCAGGAAGAGCUGAGGCUUGUGGGACACUGUGUAGGAUUUUUUGUAGCAAGAAGACUGGAGAAGAGAUUCUGCCAGCUUAUUUAUCCAGAUUUUACAUGCUUUUAAUUCAAGGUUUGCAGAUAAAUGAUUAUGUAUGCCAUCCUGUCUUGGCCAGCGUUAUUCUAAACUCUCCUCCUUUGUUCUGCUGUGACUUGAAAGGGAUUGAUGUUGUGGUUCCUUACUUUAUUUCAGCUCUUGAAACCAUUCUGCCUGACAGAGAACUCUCAAAAUUCAAAAGCUAUGUAAAUCCAACAGAAUUGCGAAGAUCCUCCAUUAAUAUCCUGCUUUCUUUGUUGCCCCUCCCUCAUCAUUUUGGCACAGUCAAAUCUGAGGUGGUCCUGGAAGGAAAGUUUAGUAACGAUGACAGCUCUUCUUAUGAUAAACCAAUAACUUUUCUAUCCCUGAAGUUGAGACUUGUGAAUAUAUUAAUAGGUGCCUUGCAAACUGAAACGGACCCCAACAACACCCAAAUGAUAUUAGGGGCAAUGUUAAAUAUUGUUCAAGAUUCAGCACUUUUGGAAGCUAUUGGUUGCCAGAUGGAGAUGGGUGGUGGAGAAAAUAACCUGAAGAGUCAUAGUCGCACCAAUAGUGGUAUUAGUUCAGCAAGUGGUGGAAGCACGGAGCCCACGACUCCGGAUAGUGAGAGACCUGCUCAAGCUCUCUUAAGAGAUUAUGGAUCGACAGCUCUUAAUACAGAUUCAGCUGCUGGGCUCCUGAUUCGCAGCAUUCAUCUCGUCACCCAAAGACUCAACUCCCAGUGGCGCCAAGACAUGAGCAUAUCACUGGCAGCUCUAGAGCUCCUCUCUGGCCUUGCAAAGGUAAAAGUGAUGGUUGACUCAGGAGACCGGAAGCGAGCCAUCAGUUCUGUGUGCACCUACAUUGUGUAUCAGUGUAGUCGGCCAGCUCCUUUACACUCCAGGGAUCUGCACUCCAUGAUAGUGGCAGCUUUUCAGUGUCUCUGUGUCUGGCUGACAGAGCACCCUGAUAUGCUUGACGAAAAGGACUGUCUUAAGGAAGUACUGGAGAUUGUGGAACUGGGUAUCUCAGGAAGUAAGUCCAGGAACAGCGAGCAAGAGGUCAAGUACAAAGGAGAUAAGGAGCCAAACCCUGCAUCUAUGAGGGUAAAGGAUGCUGCUGAAGCCACCCUAACAUGCAUUAUGCAGUUGCUUGGCGCAUUUCCGUCACCUAGUGGUCCUGCCUCUCCUUGUAGUCUUGUGAAUGAGACCACUUUGAUUAAAUACUCCAGGCUGCCAACCAUAAACAAGCAUAGUUUCCGGUACUUUGUCUUGGAUAACAGUGUCAUCCUGGCAAUGCUGGAACAACCUCUUGGAAAUGAGCAGAAUGAUUUUUUCCCCUCUGUCACUGUGCUGGUCCGGGGGAUGUCUGGAAGACUUGCUUGGGCACAACAGCUUUGUCUUUUACCCAGAGGAGCAAAAGCAAAUCAGAAGCUUUUUGUGCCUGAACCUCGCCCAGUUCCUAAAAAUGACGUUGGAUUUAAAUAUUCUGUGAAACAUCGGCCAUUUCCUGAAGAGGUGGACAAGAUUCCUUUUGUGAAAGCAGAUCUCAGCAUUCCAGAUUUGCAUGAAAUAGUCACUGAAGAAUUAGAAGAGAGACAUGAAAAAUUAAGGAGUGGCAUGGCCCAGCAGAUUGCUUAUGAAAUACACCUUGAGCAACAGAGUGAGGAGGAAUUGCAGAAGAGAAGUUUUCCUGACCCAGUUACGGAUUGCAAGCCCCCGCCUCCUGCCCAGGAAUUCCAAACAGCCCGCCUUUUUCUCUCACACUUUGGAUUUUUGUCCUUGGAAGCACUGAAGGAACCUGCAAAUAGUCGUCUACCUCCUCACCUUAUUGCACUUGAUUCCACGAUACCUGGAUUUUUUGAUGACAUUGGGUAUCUGGAUCUCUUGCCAUGUCGUCCUUUUGACACAGUUUUUAUUUUCUAUAUGAAGCCAGGUCAGAAAACGAACCAAGAGAUUUUAAAGAAUGUGGAGUCUUCCAGAACUGUUCAGCCACAUUUCCUAGAAUUUUUGCUUUCCCUUGGCUGGUCAGUAGAUGUGGGCAGACACCCUGGUUGGACUGGGCAUGUUUCUACCAGUUGGUCUAUUAAUUGUUGUGAUGAUGGUGAAGGAUCUCAACAAGAAGAAGUGAUUUCCUCUGAAGACAUUGGAGCUAGCAUUUUCAAUGGACAGAAGAAGGUGCUGUAUUAUGCUGAUGCCCUUACAGAAAUUGCUUUUGUGGUUCCUUCUCCUGUGGAGUCCUUAACUGAUUCAUUGGAAAGUAACAUCUCGGACCAAGAUAGUGAUUCAAAUAUGGAUCUUAUGCCAGGAAUUCUGAAACAGCCAUCCCUGACACUUGAGCUUUUCCCCAAUCAUACAGACAAUCUUAAUUCCUCACAGAGGCUCAGUCCCAGUUCCAGAAUGAGGAAGCUGCCUCAGGGUCGCCCUGUUCCUCCCCUUGGACCUGAGACAAGAGUUUCUGUAGUCUGGGUGGAACGCUAUGAUGAUAUAGAAAACUUUCCCCUCUCAGAGCUGAUGACAGAGAUCAGUACUGGUGUGGAAACUACUGCAAAUAGUAGCACUUCACUGAGAUCUACGACUCUUGAAAAAGAAGUUCCUGUCAUCUUCAUCCACCCUUUAAACACUGGAUUAUUCCGGAUAAAAAUUCAAGGAGCCAUUGGAAAAUUUAACAUGGUCAUCCCUCUUGUGGAUGGGAUGAUUGUCAGCAGGCGAGCUCUUGGCUUUCUGGUGAGGCAGACUGUAAUUAACAUUUGUAGAAGAAAGAGACUGGAAAGUGACUCCUACAGUCCCCCCCAUGUCCGCCGGAAACAGAAAAUCACCGACAUUGUCAACAAGUACCGGAACAAGCAGUUGGAGCCAGAGUUUUAUACUUCACUUUUCCAGGAGGUUGGACUCAAGAACUGCAGUUCUUAGACCACUGAAUUUCUAAGACUGUUGAACUCCAGUUUGGGAACUAUAACACAGCAGAACAGUUUGAUAGGUGAUCACUGUAAAAAUAAAAACAAAUCACUCCCAAGAGCUUACUGUUUAAUCACCAGAAUAGAAGAAACACAUUAUAACCCAUUUGAUAGAAGACUUUGGGCUAUCUAGUGAAAUGGGCUCCCAGACACAAUCAUACUCCUGCUGAUAAUGAUGAUAUACAUUUUAGCCAUAAACUUUCUUUUAAAAGUGACAAUUUUAGUUAAACAUAAGCCUUUUGAGGAGAAAGGCUUUUAUGCAUCUCAGUUAAACACGUGCAUUGGUAGUAUCAACAAAUUUGCAAUAUAGAAGUUGAAGAUAGUUUUAUACCUCACUUUUUAGGAGGUUGUAUUCAAAAUUAAAAUCUCAGAAUCUUACAGGACAUUUAAAGACUCAUGUUGAUAGCAUGGAGGAGAAGGAAAGAAGUCACAGCCUUCUACUCACUUGUAGGUCUUCUUGUCAUCCAGCUGUCACACUGACAAAAAGAAAAGAUGAUACAUGUUUUUUGCUCAGAUAAGAAGCCUGACUUUAAAAGAUGUCAUAUUUUUUUCUCCACAUUUCAAAAAGUUGUCCUUCUCAUCACUGCACAGAUCUGUCUGAAAGCCUCAGUUUCUGAGCAACCCAGGAACAGAUCAGAAAUGGAGCAUGGCCUUGUCCUUUAAUGGGGAUGCAAAUAAAGUUUGUGGGGUUAAAAGUUAUAAGACAGCAGUGAUACCCCCACUCUCUCCAUUAUUGUCCAGCGGGGUGACAUAAUGACAGGACCAAGCAGCAAACUGCAGUAGUUUAUGAAGGAUUCUAACAUGGGGUUCAGGAAUAGCCUCUCAACGCUACUAAUUCAGAUCUCUCCCAGAGAACUACUGGAUUUCCUCAUAAUUGACAAACAUGAGUGACCACCUCUUUGGGUGGCUACUGUAAGAAAUGGCUGUUGUCAUGUUUUCUGGACUUUGCCAGCCAACAGAUCCCUGCCAGGUUUUGGAAAUACUUCUGUUACCUCGCUGCUACUUUUCUGCAGGGAUAAAACUUUUGAGGUGGCCAGACCCAGAACAUCCAAGGAUUCCUGUUACAGUGCUAUAGUAUACACUGCUCAUUUAUCCUAUUCUCAUGUGCUUUCUUCUUUAGUAAGAUUAUUUUAUGUUAAGAAAAUAAGUGAUAUUUAAAGUCCAAAGAGGAACGAUCACAGUUGUAUAAGGGGUGUUUUCCCACUUGAACUCUGAUGUCAGUAGACUAUGGGUCAGAGCUACAACAAUCUGUUUGGUUUGAUGUUUUGGUGGUUUACUUAGGGAGUGGGGAUAGUGUGGGACCUAAUUCCCUGUGCAAAUGUCUCUUAUUCCAGAAAUGUGCAUUUUGCCAUCUGUAAGCAAGAAAUACGGGCAUAGCAGCUCUUGGUUUAAAGUUUGCCAUAACUUGUUCUUCAUGUUUGUUUUAAGCUCAGGUAAAGAUAACCUCCUCUUUCUAUGACUCCAGUUUCCAUUCAGGUUAUAGUAUUAUUCAGUAGUUGAUUUUCUUUUUAAGGGCAAUAAAUUGAUGUUUCCAGGUGGUAGCAUGGGAGAGGGCAUAUGGGAUAAAGAUGAGCAAAUUCUACCCUAAAAAUGUUCUAGUAGUUCACAGGAAGAAGAUGAGGUUUAAUAACUUUCAAGGUAAUUCUAGAUUGACAUUUUGAGGGGAAAAUGGGCUCUUGUUCUAGUUGAAGUGAGCAGAGAAGGCUAUAAAUUAAUAUGUAACUUAACAGCAUUCCAGAGGUUAAAAAUAACUGAUGUAGAUGUACUUCUUCAGUGUGAUUCGUCAGAUCAAACUUUUACCUUUGGCAUAGUUAAUUUCAGAAAAAUGUGCUGUGUGUGUGUGUGUAUGAGGGUUGGGCUUGCUGAUCCUUCAGUUAGCUCUAAUUUCUGGCAACUCCUUGUAAUUCCAAUGUAUUUGAUACAUGAACAAUCAUGUUGAAUGCAUUUGUGAUCUGGGAGACUCCCUCGUCUUCCAGGGAAGGAAGGAUGUGCAGCCCCCGAAGGCAUGAAACUCCCAGUGCGUACGGAGCCAGUGGAAUAUGGGAUACCCAUACCUUACCAGGCGCUGGUUCCUUCUGCUCAAAAUAACAUCUGCCCAAAGAGGGAGUGGGAAGAACCCUUAGCUCUUUCACUAGUAUGGAUUUGAGUUUGUGGUCACUAUUUUUACCCACCUGCCUGUGUUAAAAAUCACUUUGAGUAGAAUAGCACUGGAGGAACAUAUUUAAUACCUAAUAUUAAUAUUUAGUAGUCCAUUGAUAAAUUUGCCAGCAUAUGUUCUAGCCUCUGGGGGGAAGCCAGGACCACUUUUGUCUGUGGCGUAAACAGUUCAGUUGCUAUAUCUGUUGGGUAUGCCGGGGGGUGGAUGAGUGUGGCAUUCUGUGAAGAGGAAGGUGGUAAGUAAGGUUGCCCUUCUACUGCCUUCUUAAGUUGCAGGAGGGAGCUUUUCUCCUCCCCUUUGGUUGGGAGCACUGAGGACAGUGAGGAGGGCUUUUACCUUGUUAAUCCUUUCCUUAUUUAGCUAGCUUUCCUUUUUGUCUAGGGCUUCCUCCGAGACCCUCUUCCAUCCAUUGGGCCUUUGAAAGGGCUAAUCAGACACACACACACACACACACACACACUCACACAUGCACAUUUUCCUUCAUUUCCAGAUCGUUUAUUUCAGGGCAGUCCAUUUUCCUCUGGAUUCAUUGAUAAAUACAAGUACCACACCUUUGGCCAGUAAUGUCAGUUACCUGCUGCAGGUUCUGUGUAUGAGGCCUUCAUGAACGGUUACCUUCUCCAUACACUAGGGAAGCAUUUGUCAGACUCUGCAGACUGGGUUCUAGAGAGGCAGAGUCUUUAUUCAUUUCUUCUGGAAGAUGGAGCUUUACCCAAAGUGGAAGUUAGCCUUGCUCAAAGAUGUGUUUUGUGGUAGAUAGUUAAAAAAGAAAAAAAAAGAAACACGUAUUAGAGGUAAUUUGACACUCCUGCUGGCAGUAGUUCUGUAUUCACCAUUUUAAAGCCCAUUCAGGUUCUCUCUUCCUGAAAAGAACUGAUUGCUGUGUUUACAUGAAAUGACACUGGAGUCAGAUGGUCUGUUUUAAAGAUUUCCAUGACAGCCUCUUUUCCUGAGUUGGAGAGAUUGGAGGUGGUUCAUCCGUACGAUGUGGAAUCAAACGGUGGGUUUCUUAGUAGCUAAAGAAGCCAUGUACUUACAGUGUUUUUCUCAGAAUAUCAACUCAUGUUCUUCAGAUGCUUUUCUUUUUUUAAUGGUGAGGGAAAAGGUAUAAUUUGGGAUUCCACAGUGCCUUGCAUAUAGUAGGCGCCCAAUAAAUACUUGUUGAAGCAAACCAAGUUUCCCAAGUCCUCAUCUCUUACAGUGACCAAGACAUCUUUCUCCUCUGAAGGGCUUGGCAGUUGUGGCUAAAAAAUAAGCAGUAUCAUUAUUUGCUUGAAAUCAUAUAUACAGUUUGUAUGAAUUUCAGUAUGUUGCCAAGACAUGAUCUUUUUCUUAUUGUAUUUUCUGUAAAUAUUUCCGGCACUGAACUGUAAAGUAAAGGCAAAGUGUAAAUAUGAAGGCGUGCCCGUACCCCUUGCCUCCUGUGUUUCAUCUUCGUCAGUUAGGGAAGAAGGUCCAGAGGUUUGUUUGUAUUUAUGCUGAUCCUUUGUCCAGAAGAAGCCCAUGAAAUAUUGAAUGUAAUACAUUUAGUCAAUUAAAUUUUAAGGAGAUUCUUAUCUAA